UCUUCACAAGCAUGCCCCCAUCCUGUGCCGAUAAGAACUCCAGACCCCAAACUCAGCUCAUACACACACGGAAGAGAGAAGCAUCUGAACAUCAAGAAGAGAAGAAGCUGCUGGACAUCAGAAACUGUGAAAGGAGAGGAGUUUGGCUGAGCUCCAGGGGAAGACUGCCUGCACAUUCUAUCCCCUUUUCAGUUCCCCAUCCUGCUGUCAGCCACAUUUACCACUCAAUAAAAUCUUCACAUUC
Molecule: long non-coding RNA, 244 nt
Filed under: Homo sapiens (human)
Lineage: Eukaryota; Metazoa; Chordata; Mammalia; Primates; Hominidae
Description: long non-coding RNA NONHSAT163729.1
Source: RNAcentral